RNAcentral lists this unclassified non-coding RNA (235 nucleotides) under fungal sp. RNAcentral's name for it is "partial internal transcribed spacer region". The stretch from base 1 to 46 matches the Rfam family "Eukaryotic small subunit ribosomal RNA", at positions 1786 to 1831 of the family's 1831-position model. RNAcentral also lists the same sequence under 3 other names. Lineage: Eukaryota; Fungi. The record is from RNAcentral.
AAGUCGUAACAAGGUCUCCGUUGGUGAACCAGCGGAGGGAUCAUUACAGAGUUGCAAGACUCCCUAAACCAUUGUGAACCUACCUUCUACCGUUGCUUCGGCGGGCGGGCCCAGCGCCCCCCCGGCCCCCCGCGGGCGCCCGCCGGAGGAUACCCAAACUCUUGACAUUAGUGGCCUCUCUGAGUAUUCUUUACUGAAUAAGUCAAAACUUUCAACAACGGAUCUCUUGGUUCUG